RNAcentral lists this ribosomal RNA (1002 nucleotides) under Bacillus sp. NMLT18. RNAcentral's name for it is "bacterial SSU rRNA". It matches the Rfam family "Bacterial small subunit ribosomal RNA", at positions 53 to 1048 of the family's 1533-position model. The record is from RNAcentral. Lineage: Bacteria; Bacillati; Bacillota; Bacilli; Caryophanales; Bacillaceae.
ACUGCAAGUCGAGCGGACAGAUGGGAGCUUGCUCCCUGAUGUUAGCGGCGGACGGGUGAGUAACACGUGGGUAACCUGCCUGUAAGACUGGGAUAACUCCGGGAAACCGGGGCUAAUACCGGAUGGUUGUUUGAACCGCAUGGUUCAAACAUAAAAGGUGGCUUCGGCUACCACUUACAGAUGGACCCGCGGCGCAUUAGCUAGUUGGUGAGGUAACGGCUCACCAAGGCAACGAUGCGUAGCCGACCUGAGAGGGUGAUCGGCCACACUGGGACUGAGACACGGCCCAGACUCCUACGGGAGGCAGCAGUAGGGAAUCUUCCGCAAUGGACGAAAGUCUGACGGAGCAACGCCGCGUGAGUGAUGAAGGUUUUCGGAUCGUAAAGCUCUGUUGUUAGGGAAGAACAAGUACCGUUCGAAUAGGGCGGUACCUUGACGGUACCUAACCAGAAAGCCACGGCUAACUACGUGCCAGCAGCCGCGGUAAUACGUAGGUGGCAAGCGUUGUCCGGAAUUAUUGGGCGUAAAGGGCUCGCAGGCGGUUUCUUAAGUCUGAUGUGAAAGCCCCCGGCUCAACCGGGGAGGGUCAUUGGAAACUGGGGAACUUGAGUGCAGAAGAGGAGAGUGGAAUUCCACGUGUAGCGGUGAAAUGCGUAGAGAUGUGGAGGAACACCAGUGGCGAAGGCGACUCUCUGGUCUGUAACUGACGCUGAGGAGCGAAAGCGUGGGGAGCGAACAGGAUUAGAUACCCUGGUAGUCCACGCCGUAAACGAUGAGUGCUAAGUGUUAGGGGGUUUCCGCCCCUUAGUGCUGCAGCUAACGCAUUAAGCACUCCGCCUGGGGAGUACGGUCGCAAGACUGAAACUCAAGGAAUGACGGGGGCCGCACAAGCGGUGGAGCAUGUGGUUUAAUUCGAACAACGCGAAGAACCUUACCGGUCUUGACUCCUCUGACAUCCUAAGAUAGGACGUCCCCUUCGGGGGCAAUGACAGGUGGGCAUGC